GGGGUAAAUCUUAGGGUUCGCUUCACACCAAACCACCACGUGAGGGGAAACUCAGCCAACGCCAAGGAACGGCUAUGUUUUCAAAAUAAAAACAUGAUUUAUGCGAAAUGUGAAUUUUUAACAGCCUUGGCGGUCUCGGUAGGAUGCCUCAGCCAAGGUGUCCUCGAGAAUGGAUUUAUGGCACAAGCCUAGUUUUAUGAGAUUCAUAAGCCUCUUUACGUAUUUUGAAUUAAAUGUGUUCUAAUGUUGUGACCCAGUUUACGAUGAUUUACUUGAUCGUCUUCAUGUACUCAACUUUAGAUGUUUAUGAUGAUGUUUGUUUACUCAUUGGGAGUUUAUAAUCUCACCACCCUCCUUUCCACCCAUUUAAGGCUCAGUAUAAGUUGUAGAUAACUGAUAUCGUCGAAGGCUACAGUUGGCUUUACUUCUUCAAAAACUAUAGGUUUGUAGCCUUCGUUCAUUUUUGUCAUUUGGGGAUCCACAUGUCACUGUAAAUUAAAUUUCAUACUCUAGUUAUCUAUACUACUGUAUGUAGGAAUUUAUUUUGCUUUUAUGCUGUAAAUAAUUAUUUACGUAGUAUCCUAAAAAUAUUGUUUUACAAGAAAAUGAGAGACUGAUAUUAAAACCUUGCGGGGUUCCGGUUGGCAUUCCGAGUAAUGAGCACCUAUUGAGACACCGCGGCGGUUGUCAUGGGCUCAAGGGGAGUACCGGGUCGUGACACUUAGAGUCAAAUUAAAG
This 738-nucleotide long non-coding RNA is filed under the name Theobroma cacao (cacao). RNAcentral's name for it is "long non-coding RNA (TCAC_LNC004854)". The record is from RNAcentral. Lineage: Eukaryota; Viridiplantae; Streptophyta; Magnoliopsida; Malvales; Malvaceae.